This 323-nucleotide unclassified non-coding RNA is filed under the name Melitaea cinxia (Glanville fritillary). RNAcentral's name for it is "misc RNA ENSMCXG00005004795.1". The record is from RNAcentral. Lineage: Eukaryota; Metazoa; Arthropoda; Insecta; Lepidoptera; Nymphalidae.
AUAACAUUACAAUUUAUAAAUUUCAAACGUCACAAUAAAAUGAAAUAAAAAAAUCAUUUUUAUAAUUCUCGUGUAUGUUGUUUUCCAGAUGUAAGCAUUUCAGGACCUCGCACAGCUACAGGUGUAUGAGAAGUCAAGUCAUGAAGUCAGCCGGACCUACCAGUAGCGAGUUGGCGGUACUAAGAACGAAACUAAAGAAUUUUAUUUUUUGCGAUUUCCUACGGAAUAUACUGAAUUUCAACAAGCAGUUUGUAUGUAUGAUGACGUCACAAGCUUGCAAAUAAACAAUUAAAAAAUGUUAAUAUAUAAAGAUACGAAUUUGU